UAAGGAAUAUUGGUCAAUGGACGCAAGUCUGAACCAGCCAUGCCGCGUGGAGGAUUAAGGCCCUCUGGGUUGUAAACUCCUUUUAUCUGGGAAGAAAUGUACUUUUUCUUGAGUACUUGACGGUACCAGAGGAAUAAGCACCGGCUAACUCCGUGCCAGCAGCCGCGGUAAUACGGAGGGUGCAAGCGUUAUCCGGAUUUACUGGGUGUAAAGGGUGCUCAGGCGGAUUUGUAAGUCAGCGGUGAAAUCUUACAGCUUAACUGUGAAACUGCCUUUGAUACUGCAAGCCUAGAGUAUGGAAGAGAGUGAUGGAAUAUCUGGUGUAGCAGUGAAAUGCGUAGAUAUCAGAUAGAACACCAAUGGCGAAGGCAGUCACUUGGUCCAUUACUGACGCUAAAGCACGAAAGCGUGGGUAGCAAACA
RNAcentral lists this ribosomal RNA (422 nucleotides) under uncultured bacterium. RNAcentral describes it as "bacterial SSU rRNA". It matches the Rfam family "Bacterial small subunit ribosomal RNA", at positions 355 to 774 of the family's 1533-position model. The record is from RNAcentral.